Molecule: long non-coding RNA, 516 nt
Organism: Polypterus senegalus (gray bichir)
Lineage: Eukaryota; Metazoa; Chordata; Cladistia; Polypteriformes; Polypteridae
Exons: 3
Source: RefSeq, a predicted model, not a curated record
CAGCAGAUCAGAAGUGUGGUGAAUAACAAAUCUGUCAAGCAUGUUAUCCUAGAAAUGAGUACCUUAAAUUUUGUGCGGUAAGAUCUAUAAAUGUUAUAAAAUAAUGAUAAGCAAUACUGAAAACUGAAUAAUUUAGUAUUAGAAUAGUAAAUCUGUGGAACAAGUGCAGAAGUCGAAGCAGCAGUAUUGCACUUCGUUAAUAGUUUAAAAGGAUUUGCCAUUUCAAGUGCCACAUCUGCGAGAGUUGUAGGAUACUUCAUUUCUUCAAACAAUUGUGGAGUGACUGAAAGGGCUGGGACUUCCAUGGCAAAGAGGAAGGGACAUCAUCCAUCUUCAGAGGGGAUCUUCUUCCACUGUAGGUCUCAAAAAGGAAAAAAGACCAUACACAGGAAAUCUCGCUAGGUCCCAGCACCAGGGAUGAGAUCACUUCCAUUUCCUGCGCCAUGGAUGAUGUCACUUCUGGUAUCAAAGACAUCACUUCUGCAUUUGGUGCUAGUGAUGUCACUUCUGGUCGAG